Non-coding RNA from Paramuricea clavata, 213 nucleotides. The record is from the annotation of a GenBank genome assembly. NCBI's taxonomy places the organism in Eukaryota, Metazoa, Cnidaria, Anthozoa, Malacalcyonacea, Plexauridae.
GAUCCCAACUUGAAUUAUGCAUUAAAUAAGCCCGCUACAUCGUCCUCGUUGGAGUAUGUACACUUGAGCUACCGUGCAGUAGAUGGAAAUAGCAACACAAAAUGGGGUGCUAAUGGAUGCUUUGAGGCGGGGAGUCCUAGUGAAAAACAGUGGUGGCGUGUGGACUUUCAAGAGGAAAUUCAAGUAGCCAGAGUGGUAAUUACAAACAGAGGU